RNAcentral lists this ribosomal RNA (484 nucleotides) under uncultured bacterium. RNAcentral's name for it is "partial 16S ribosomal RNA". It matches the Rfam family "Bacterial small subunit ribosomal RNA", at positions 30 to 507 of the family's 1533-position model. The record is from RNAcentral.
AUUGAACGCUGGCGGCAGGCCUAACACAUGCCAGUCGAGCGGAUGAAGGGAGCUUGCUCCUGGAUUCAGCGGCGGACGGGUGAGUAAUGCCUAGGAAUCUGCCUGGUAGUGGGGGAUAACGUCCGGAAACGGGCACUAAUACCGCAUACGUCCUGAGGGAGAAAGUGGGGGAUCUUCGGACCUCACGCUAUCAGAUGAGCCUAGGUCGGAUUAGCUAGUUGGUGGGGUAAAGGCCUACCAAGGCGACGAUCCGUAACUGGUCUGAGAGGAUGAUCAGUCACACUGGAACUGAGACACGGUCCAGACUCCUACGGGAGGCAGCAGUGGGGAAUAUUGGACAAUGGGCGAAAGCCUGAUCCAGCCAUGCCGCGUGUGUGAAGAAGGUCUUCGGAUUGUAAAGCACUUUAAGUUGGGAGGAAGGGCAGUAAGUUAAUACCUUGCUGUUUUGACGUUACCAACAGAAUAAGCACCGGCUAACUUCGUG